Molecule: ribosomal RNA, 468 nt
Filed under: uncultured bacterium
Lineage: Bacteria
Description: partial 16S ribosomal RNA
Rfam family: Bacterial small subunit ribosomal RNA
Source: RNAcentral
GACGAACGCUGGCGGCGUGCUUAACACAUGCAAGUCGAACGGAAAGGCCCUGCUUUUGUGGGGUGCUCGAGUGGCGAACGGGUGAGUAACACGUGAGUAACCUGCCCUUGACUUUGGGAUAACUUUAGGAAACUGGGGCUAAUACCGGAUAGGAGCUCCUGCUGCAUGGUGGGGGUUGGAAAGUUUCGGCGGUUGGGGAUGGACUCGCGGCUUAUCAGCUUGUUGGUGGGGUAGUGGCUUACCAAGGCUUUGACGGGUAGCCGGCCUGAGAGGGUGACCGGCCACAUUGGGACUGAGAUACGGCCCAGACUCCUACGGGAGGCAGCAGUGGGGAAUAUUGCACAAUGGGCGGAAGCCUGAUGCAGCAGCGCCGCGUGCGGGAUGACGGCCUUCGGGUUGUAAACCGCUUUCGCCUGUGACGAAGCGUGAGUGACGGUAAUGGGUAAAGAAGCACCGGCUAACUACGUG